Molecule: ribosomal RNA, 253 nt
Filed under: uncultured bacterium
Lineage: Bacteria
Description: partial 16S ribosomal RNA
Rfam family: Bacterial small subunit ribosomal RNA
Source: RNAcentral
UACGGAGGGUGCAAGCGUUAUCCGGAUUCACUGGGUUUAAAGGGUGCGUAGGCGGCGCGGUAAGUCGGGUGUGAAAUCUCGGGGCUUAACUCCGAAACUGCAUUCGAUACUGCCGUGCUUGAGGACUGGAGAGGAGACUGGAAUUUACGGUGUAGCGGUGAAAUGCGUAGAUAUCGUAAGGAAGACCAGUGGCGAAGGCGGGUCUCUGGACAGUUCCUGACGCUGAGGCACGAAGGCCAGGGGAGCAAACGAG